RNAcentral lists this ribosomal RNA (697 nucleotides) under uncultured Leptolyngbya sp. RNAcentral describes it as "bacterial SSU rRNA". It matches the Rfam family "Bacterial small subunit ribosomal RNA", at positions 94 to 824 of the family's 1533-position model. The record is from RNAcentral. Lineage: Bacteria; Bacillati; Cyanobacteriota; Cyanophyceae; Leptolyngbyales; Leptolyngbyaceae.
AGUGGCGGACGGGUGAGUAACGCGUGAGAAUCUGCCCUUUGGAUGGGGAUAACGACUGGAAACGGUCGCUAAUACCCAAUAUGCCGAGAGGUGAAACUUAUAUGGCCAGAGGAUGAGCUCGCGUCUGAUUAGCUAGUUGGAGUGGUAACGGCACAUCAAGGCGACGAUCAGUAGCUGGUCUGAGAGGAUGAUCAGCCACACUGGGACUGAGACACGGCCCAGACUCCUACGGGAGGCAGCAGUGGGGAAUUUUCCGCAAUGGGCGAAAGCCUGACGGAGCAAGACCGCGUGAGGGAGGAAGGCCUACUGGUUGUAAACCUCUUUUGAUAGGGAAGAAGAAAGUGACGGUACCUAUCGAAUCAGCAUCGGCUAACUCCGUGCCAGCAGCCGCGGUAAUACGGAGGAUGCAAGCGUUAUCCGGAAUUAUUGGGCGUAAAGCGUCCGUAGGUGGUUAUUCAAGUCAGCUGUCAAAGGAUGGAGCUUAACUCCAUAAAGGCAGUUGAAACUGUGUGGCUAGAGUGCGAUAGGGGCAAGGGGAAUUCCCAGUGUAGCGGUGAAAUGCGUAGAUAUUGGGAAGAACAUCGGUGGCGAAAGCGCCUUGCUGGGUCUGCACUGACACUGAGGGACGAAAGCUAGGGGAGCGAAAGGGAUUAGAUACCCCUGUAGUCUUAGCUGUAAACGAUGGAUACUAGGCGUU